Callithrix jacchus (white-tufted-ear marmoset) is the source of this 1483-nucleotide long non-coding RNA. Lineage: Eukaryota; Metazoa; Chordata; Mammalia; Primates; Cebidae. The record is from Ensembl.
AUGCUGUUUCCUCAGGUGGCGGCCGCGUUCUUACGGAAAAUGCAGGACUGCUUCCUCCCACACCCACAGCUACAGGCAGCUCUGAGCACUUUCGCUUUCACCAGAGCAUUCUGUCUGUCGGGAAUUUCUUUCAGUGAAAUUUGUUUCAAUUGUAAUGUUUUUAAACAGAACAAAAACCUAACCAAACAGAAACGCAGAACACAGAUCUCAUGGGCAGCAUGGCCGUGUCCUUUGGUUAAGAACGAGGUACAAGGAGUGACGAGAAAGGACAGAGCAAACGUGAGAGAACUGAAAUCUCAAAUAGAACAUAAUACGUGACAUCUGCUGUCUGUAAGGAAGUAUAAGCUGUCAGACCCAGAUCUAAAGGACCUCAGAAAUGAGAUGGCCAAGCCCUUGGAGGACAUCCUGGUGGAAUCUUGAGGAAAGAAGGAAGGCAGCAGAAGAAAAGAGAUGGACAGAUGGCCUGGCCUUUGAGAUGGGAAUAAGGGUUGCAUGGAGAACACAGGUGAGUGCGCGCUGUCUAUCUAUGGACAAUUUUAGUUUAGCUGUAAAAAGAUGCAUUGGAAAAUUCUAGAAAAGAAAGGAAUAGGCAUUGGCUCACUUAAAAAGCCACGCCAAGGUGACCUCAUUGCCUGUGGGAACAGGCUUAGGAGGUGUGGGAGCCGCACUGCAUCUUAAUUCCCAGAGGUCCUCAGUCUCCCUGAGGACAAGAUGGAGAAAUGCAGGUCAGAAUUAAUUCACACACAUGAACUCAGAACUGGCUGGACAGUUCUAUCUAACAGGGGACUGUGGACUCUGAAGAUGUCUGGUUUGUCCUGAUGCUUAGUCCUUGGACCUAUUCUGUUAAACAUUGAUUGUCAGUGCUCUGAAUCAUGAGGCCCAUCACUAUCCCCCUGAAGGAACUCACCAGCUCCUUCCCCAGGUGCGUGGGGAUCUGAACUAAAGAGCACGAAGCGUCAGCACUUUCAGGGAGACGCUCUUCACUGUGCACACAGAGACCAGGACGAAUCCUUGUCUCUCACUUGCCCUGACUUCUCUCAGGCUACUUGUCAUGCACAGCCAAUCCCAGCAUGAAUGAAGCCAGCACGUCUUCUCUUGGUGUUUACUGAGUGGGAUGCUGGUGCCUCCUGGGGGGAUUCACUUUUUACGAAAUUGUGUUGAUAUUCUUGCUUAUAGGCCUUGUUAGAAAUAAAGCCCGGAGCGGUAGGGAAACACAAGCACUCAAAGGAUUUCUCAGCAAACAGAUUUACUUCUGCUCAGAAGGAUGCCUCUCAUAGGGCUGAUACCACCAGAGCACCCCGAGCAAAGGAGAGUAGAAGAUUUUUUUUAGGGAGCUUGUGAUCCGCUUAUUAAUGAUUUGAACCUGUAUGAGCAUCUACUGUGUCUUACUAAUUUUUUGUUUUUUUAAAUUAAAUUAAAUUUAAUUUAACUUUACUUCAGGUGUAUUACUAUAUCCAGCAUUUCUCCUCAUGUUAUCCCUCCC